RNAcentral lists this unclassified non-coding RNA (1737 nucleotides) under uncultured fungus. RNAcentral describes it as "sequence contains 18S rRNA gene, ITS1, 5.8S rRNA gene, ITS2, 28S rRNA gene". The stretch from base 625 to 1737 matches the Rfam family "Eukaryotic large subunit ribosomal RNA", at positions 1 to 961 of the family's 3401-position model. Lineage: Eukaryota; Fungi. The record is from RNAcentral.
GGAAGGAUCAUCAAAGAAGCUAUGAGUUACGCAUAGCGAACGUAGCGGAGACGAAAGUCUUCGGGCGUUUAAAAGUCGCAGCGGCUGCGUGCCGGACGACUCUGACUGAUUACUGGUUCGAACGGAACCUAAGCCGGACUAGCAAUGUGGCGCGACGUUACCAGUCGUCCGUCCUGUGCUAGUCCGUUUGCGCCCUUGGCUUGCCGAGGGUAGGUUUAAUGAGGAGUCGAGCAUAUACGACCCCACCGUUCCAAAACCCCAACUUUUUAACUAAAGAAAAAAGCUAAAAUCUACUAUUCUAAGCGGUGGAUCACUUGGCUCGCGGGUCGAUGAAAAACGCAGCUAACUGCGUUACUCAAUGCGAAUUGCAGACACAUUGAGCAUCGGCACUUUGAACGCACAUUGCGGCAUCAAGAUUACUCUUGGUGCCACGCCUGAUCGAGGGUCGUUUUAAAGUACAUUUACCUACACGACUACAGGUAGUACUCAGCCUACUGCACGGCGCUGGCUCGAAAGAGUCUUAGCUGUCGAUGCACUUGUGCUGUCUAAUAUGCACUGGGUUUUUCAGUGUAACUAUCUGCAUUAACUGGUUGCGUGCUACCCCACCAGUGCAGACUUGUUCUUCGGCCUCGAUUCAGACGUGACUACCCGCUGAAUUUAAGCAUAUUACUAAGCGGAGGAAAAGAAACUAACAAGGAUUCCCCUAGUAAGGGCGACUGAACGGGGAAAAGCCCAGCACCGAAUCCCCUGGCGUUAGCCAUGGUGACCUGUGGUGUUAAGGAAAGCCUAUCCAGCAAUAGCGUAUGUCCCUGAGUUCCCUUGAUUGGGGCCACAGUCCGAAGAAGGUGCGAGACCUGUGAGGGAGACGUUGUAUACUGGUAAGUGCUUCCGUGGAGUCGGGUUGUCUGAGAUCGCAGCCCAAAGUUGGUGGUAAGCUUCACCUAAGGCUAAAUAUAACCGCGAGACCAAUAGCAAACAAGUACCGUGAGGGAAAGUUGCAAAGAACUUUGAAGAGAGAGUUCAAGAGGACGUGAAACUGCUUAGAAGGAAACGAGUAGAGCUGCGAGUGGCUCGGCCGAUUCAGACAGUCGGCGGUACACGCGGAGGUAGGCGACCGCAAGGCGUCUGCUUCCGAAGUGAAGCCGUUCGAAUGUCGCAUUUUGGCCGAGUAGCACUGGCGGCCGUACGGAUCCGGUAGUGCUCUGCAGUUGACGAUGCCAGCUUCGGUUGGUUGUCGAAUGUGGAAGUACGACUUGUGAACCGUACGGUUAAAAUGUAUGAACGCCUAUGCGCGAUAGCGGGCUCGGUUGGUGUCGGUUGGCUGACGUGCUUGCACGAAGGUUGAUCGGUGCUGAUCGACGCUCAGGACUCGCAGUUUCAUACACGCUGGUGAACUAAGUCAGCGACCUACUCGACCCGUCUUGAAACACGGACCAAGGAGUCUAACAUGUACGCAAGUCGUAGGGUGGAAAACCCGAAGGCGCAAUGAAAGUAAAGCUUUUGCGACACAGGAUCCGGUUUCGGCCGGCGCACUGUGGCCCCGUUCCGGCUGCAUGUCAGCGGAGCGGCGGUAGAGCGUACACGUUAGGACCCGAAAGAUGGUGAACUAUGCCUGAGCAGGGCGAAGCCAGAGGAAACUCUGGUGGAGGCUCGAAACGGUUCUGACGUGCAAAUCGAUCGUCAGACUUGGGUAUAGGGGCGAAAGACUAAUCGAACCAUCUAGUAGCUGGUUCCCUC